RNAcentral lists this long non-coding RNA (411 nucleotides) under Piliocolobus tephrosceles (Ugandan red Colobus). RNAcentral describes it as "lncRNA (ENSPTEG00000011985.1)". Lineage: Eukaryota; Metazoa; Chordata; Mammalia; Primates; Cercopithecidae. The record is from RNAcentral.
AUGCGGUCCUCGAGCCUCCCGGGCGCUCGGUCACCGCGCCGAAACGGGAGCGGGCACAGUCGCCACCGCCUACCGCCGGGCCGCCUCAGAACAGGAAGCCGUGCGCCGACCGCGGAAGCCCGCCCCCAUGUAGCGAGAAGUCCGCCGACCCCAGGGACAGGAGCGAGGGGCGGGGAGAGGCGGGGAUGGGGGGGAAGCAGGGCGGCCCCGCAGAGGGGAAGCUGCGCCUCCGCAAACGCUCAGAAGCAGCUUCGCCAGACAGCCGCAACGUACAUGUUGACUGCCCGAGGCGGAAGUCGAUCGGCAGAGCGGAAGGGGGACCUGCAAAGGACCUUCAGACAGAAUAACACUUGCUUUUCUUGUCCUCGAAGAAACGGUUGUCAUCAUCGUAACCUAGUAAGUUACAACUGA